Molecule: ribosomal RNA, 253 nt
Filed under: uncultured bacterium
Lineage: Bacteria
Description: partial 16S ribosomal RNA
Rfam family: Bacterial small subunit ribosomal RNA
Source: RNAcentral
UACGUAGGGGGCAAGCGUUGUCCGGAAUCAUUGGGCGUAAAGAGCGCGUAGGCGGUCCGGUAAGUCCGCUCUGAAAGUCCGGGGCUCAACCCCGGGAGGCGGGCGGAUACUGUCGGGCUAGAGUCCGGAAGAGGCGAGUGGAAUUCCUGGUGUAGCGGUGAAAUGCGCAGAUAUCAGGAGGAACACCGGUGGCGAAGGCGGGACUCUGGGCCGAUACUGACGCUGAGGAGCGAAAGCGUGGGGAGCGAACAGG